Molecule: ribosomal RNA, 253 nt
Filed under: uncultured bacterium
Lineage: Bacteria
Description: partial 16S ribosomal RNA
Rfam family: Bacterial small subunit ribosomal RNA
Source: RNAcentral
UACGGAGGGUGCAAGCGUUAAUCGGAUUUACUGGGCGUAAAGCGUUCGUAGGUGGUUUGUUAAGUUGGAUGUGAAAGCCCAGGGCUCAACCUUGGAAUUGCAUCCAAAACUGGCAGACUAGAGUAUGUGAGAGGGGGGUAGAAUUUCUGGUGUAGCGGUGAAAUGCGUAGAGAUCAGAAAGAAUACCGAUGGCGAAGGCAGCCCCCUGGUGCAAUACUGACACUGAGGAACGAAAGCGUGGGGAGCAAACAGG